UAUAGGAUGGCGUCGCUAAGAGACGGAAGAUGGCUAGGAGAGGACUAGCAAUAGCUACAAGGGGAAGAGACCACGAGAGACUGCCAGAGGCCAAAGAGAAAGAGUAAAGAUUCUUUGGGGGCCUCUGGUGAACAGACCACAGCUUGGGACACUCCCACUCUGAUUUGGAGAAGCUUGUAGAAAAGCUGAAUUGAAGUCACAAGCAGCAUGAAAGCAGGACAAGCACCCAGCAGAGAUGACACCAAAUGAAGCUCAUGAUGUGUCCCUCAAAUGUGACAUAGACAAAGAAAAUCAUAGAUGAAGGAUAAAAAGUAAACUGCUCUUCCUGGGCACACUUCACCUAGGCGGCAUCUUUGGGGCUUCCAGACCAGCUUUUCAUCCUGAGUGGGUUGAACCCACACAGAUCCAGUCAAAGUCAGUGACUCCACUGUCCUCCCCCACCGGCCCUGCUCCUGCAAUCUGCCUGCUCCCUGCUGGUCCUUCUAUGUCCUGACUGAGAUGGCUGUUCUGUUUGUUUCUAUUGUCUGAGAAAUAAAAUG
Long non-coding RNA from Talpa occidentalis (Iberian mole), 539 nucleotides. RefSeq lists it as uncharacterized. The transcript has 4 exons. The record is from RefSeq and is a predicted model, not a curated record. NCBI's taxonomy places the organism in Eukaryota, Metazoa, Chordata, Mammalia, Eulipotyphla, Talpidae.